UGUUUGUCACGAGAUGCACAGCAGUGACCGUAGGAAUUCAUUAAAUACAUAUAGGAUGAAUGAAUGAGAUACAAAUAAUAACCUCGUAGCUGGAAAUCAGAGGCUAGAAAGGGUGAAUGCGAGAGCGAGGCUGUGGGGGCCGCAGGACAGGUGUCUGAGACCCCAGGGUCCGCCGCCCCCUCCUCACACACACCCAUCCCUUCCCUGUUCUCUCCGGAGGAGGAUUCCGGCCUCCGUCUGCAUCCGCCUGCGGGGUCUCUGUUCUCAUUGCUGUUCGUGCCUCAAGAAGCAAACAUGGCACGUUCCUGAGUCACGAUACGACACACACACGUCAGUUAGUCACCCAGGAGGCUCGGUUCAUCAAGAGAUUUGGAGGCAGUUGUUGAAGCACGUGUGGACGACUCACCAGGCCCUUGUCGGCGCAUCGGCAGACUGGAAACCCUGCUCGCCUUUUCCACGUGGACGAGUGUCCUCACGCCGGGGCCUGGCCAGGGGCUCGCUCCCCAUGUCUGAGGGCGCCGAGUCCCCGCUGUGGCCGCUGGCUCAGGGCCCAGCUGGGGUCCGACGGAGGGGGCGGCAGAGCAGGGCUGCAGGCAGGAGUGCUUCCUGGUGGCGAUGGUGAGGCGGCCUCCUGAGGACGCUGGUGAUGGGGCAGCGUCUCCCCUCCACUCUCCUCUCGUGCCUUCAUCGAACCAACAGCCAGCCCGAUGGGAACUCACUUUGCUCGCCACCGGACCCAAGGAGAGCAGUCCAGGGCUGGUGUGGCCACCGAGGUGCCCUGAGCAUCUGCCACGGCGUGUGGCCUGGGCAUCCCAUGCUCCUCUGUGCUACAAUAGGGCUGCUCCACCUCUCCCAUCACAGCUGCGUUCCUGGCAAGACAACAGUGAGGCCGAGUCCACCCCUUAAAGGAACCUGCCACCUAGGAUUCCCGCUCCUCUGCCCCCAUCGGGUUGGUGGGAACCAUUCAUUUAGGUGGAAAAUCAAGAGUGUCGUGCUCCGCCCAGGGCUCCGUGUCCGCCGCCGGGUUUUCCAGGAUCUAAAGUUGAAGCAGUGGCCAGCCUUUCAAAGACAAGGACCUAUGUGGCUUCAUCCACGAUCUCACUACCACCAAAAACAUCUUGAGGAAAUCAUCACAAAAGGAAACAGGGGCAGUCCAAGUCAGACAUUAUUUGUCCCAAGGAGGAUGUGAAAACUCAGUAGAGAUUUAAGAUAAAGGCUUCACUGCAAAUCUUCACUGCACCACCAGAGCUCAGAGAGAAGCGUACACACGAC
This 1272-nucleotide long non-coding RNA is filed under the name Felis catus (domestic cat). RNAcentral's name for it is "lncRNA (ENSFCAG00000046022.2)". Lineage: Eukaryota; Metazoa; Chordata; Mammalia; Carnivora; Felidae. The record is from RNAcentral.